UUAUGUAAAUUUGAUGAAACCUGAUUUGAGGUUAGACCUGUGUAAAAUAAUUGGGCUAAAUAUUAUGCACAGGAAGGCAAUUGCUACAAACUAAAAACAAUUUCAGACUUAUUUACUAGAGGCCACCUCGGAAGUGCUCCUACAGUUACUUGUAUGAUUUUAAAUUGCAAUUUUUUUAAAUGUAGCAGCUCUGCAUGAACUCUUGGACUAUUUGCAAGCUUUAAACUUUGUCAUAAGACAAACCUACCUAAAAUGUGCAUUCUUUACAAUAUAUUUACAUGGUUACAUUUUUGUUAUUUUUUAAACCAUUCUGUGGAUAUUCAAACAAAAUAUAUUGCUCAAAAUAAACAUUUCAAUUUUGCUUCCCAUACAGAGGAAAGAAUAGAAUCACAGAAUGGCAGAGUUGGAAGGGAUAAUGAGGGUCAUCUAGUUCAACCCCCUGCAAUGCAAUAAUUUCAACCAGAUCAUACACGACACCUAUGCUUGAAAACCUGCAAGGAAGGAGAGUCCACCACCUCUCGUUGGAGCCUGUUCCACCGUCAAACUAAAAUUUUACUAUUCGCAUAUCCAGGAUGUGUUCUGGGUCUGGGUGUGUGGACUUCCUUAAUUCCGAAUAGAGGCCAUUGACUCACCUAUGGCCAUGACUCACCAUUGACUCACCUACGACUACAGGACAUAUUGUGCAGAGGCUGGGAAGCCAUCUUUCAGACAGAAGAAAUGCAUGGAUCCUUGCACCAUGGUUCAAGACUGGGAUGCUAGGAGCCAUGGCAUCUGCAAUAAAGAGCAGCUGCUUUAUCCUUUGGGCUAUGCCUGGUAUAGAGUGACACAUGGGCUAGCUGGCAAUGUUCAUCCUAG
Podarcis raffonei (Aeolian wall lizard) is the source of this 855-nucleotide long non-coding RNA. RefSeq lists it as uncharacterized. The record is from RefSeq and is a predicted model, not a curated record. NCBI's taxonomy places the organism in Eukaryota, Metazoa, Chordata, Lepidosauria, Squamata, Lacertidae. The transcript has 3 exons.